RNAcentral lists this microRNA (22 nucleotides) under Sarcophilus harrisii (Tasmanian devil). Its description in RNAcentral is "Sha-Mir-7262-P7_5p* (star (passenger))". The record is from RNAcentral. Lineage: Eukaryota; Metazoa; Chordata; Mammalia; Dasyuromorphia; Dasyuridae. RNAcentral also lists the same sequence under 1 other name.
CAAAAGUUUUAGUGUAGUUUUA